UUUAAUAUUCAUCAAGUUUGACCUCAAAUCAGGUAGGAUUACCCGCUGAACUUAAGCAUAUCAAUAAGCGGAGGAAAAGAAACCAACUGGGAUUACCUUAGUAACGGCGAGUGAAGCGGUAAAAGCUCAAAUUUGAAAUCUGGUACUUUCAGUGCCCGAGUUGUAAUUUGUAGAAUUUGUCUUUGAUUAGGUCCUUGUCUAUGUUCCUUGGAACAGGACGUCAUAGAGGGUGAGAAUCCCGUUUGGCGAGGAUACCUUUUCUCUGUAAGACUUUUUCGAAGAGUCGAGUUGUUUGGGAAUGCAGCUCAAAGUGGGUGGUAAAUUCCAUCUAAAGCUAAAUAUUGGCGAGAGACCGAUAGCGAACAAGUACAGUGAUGGAAAGAUGAAAAGAACUUUGAAAAGAGAGUGAAAAAGUACGUGAAAUUGUUGAAAGGGAAGGGCAUUUGAUCAGACAUGGUGUUUUUUGCAUGCACUCGCCUCUCGUGGGCUUGGGCCUCUCAAAAAUUUCACUGGGCCAACAUCAAUUCUGGCAGCAGGAUAAAUCAUUAAGAAUGUAGCUACUUCGGUAGUGUUAUAGCUUUUUGGAAUACUGUU
This 594-nucleotide ribosomal RNA is filed under the name Hanseniaspora uvarum. Its description in RNAcentral is "eukaryotic LSU rRNA". It matches the Rfam family "Eukaryotic large subunit ribosomal RNA", at positions 1 to 576 of the family's 3401-position model. Lineage: Eukaryota; Fungi; Ascomycota; Saccharomycetes; Saccharomycodales; Saccharomycodaceae. The record is from RNAcentral.